RNAcentral lists this ribosomal RNA (497 nucleotides) under uncultured bacterium. Its description in RNAcentral is "partial 16S ribosomal RNA". It matches the Rfam family "Bacterial small subunit ribosomal RNA", at positions 28 to 507 of the family's 1533-position model. The record is from RNAcentral.
GAUGAACGCUGGCGGCGUGCCUAAUACAUGCAAGUCGAGCGAACGGACGAUAAGCUUGCGGCGCUGAUGUUAGGGGCGGACGGGUGAGUAACACGUGGAUAACCUACCUAUAAGACUGGGAUAACUUCGGGAAACCGGAGCUAAUACCGGAUAAGAUUUUGAACCGCAUGGGUCAAAAGUGAAAUACGGUCUUGCUGGCACGUAUAGAUGGAUCCGCGCUGCAUUAGCGAGUUGGUAAGGUAACGGCUUACGAAGGCAACGAUGCAUAGCCGCCCUGAGAGGGUGGUGGAGCACACCGGAACUGAGGACCGGUCAAGACUCCUCCGGGAGACGGCAGUCGGGUAUGUUCCGCAGUAGUCGAGAGUAUGACAGAGCAACCGCGAGUGAGUGGUGGCGGUCUUGCGAUCGUAAAACUCUGUUACUAGGGAAAAACAUAUGUCUCCGUAACUGUGCACAUCUUGACGGUACCUAAUCAGAAAGCCCCGGCUAACUACGUG